GACGUAGGGCGCGAGCGUUGUCCGGAUUUAUUGGGCGUAAAGAGCUCGUAGGCGGCUUGUUGCGUCGACUGUGAAAACCCGCGGCUCAACCGCGUGGCUUGCAGUCGAUACGGGCAGGCUCGAGGCCGGUAGGGGGAAGCGGAAUUCCCGGUGUAGUGGUGGAAUGCGUAGAUAUCGGGAGGAACACCAGUGGCGAAGGCGGCUUCCUGGACCGGUUCUGACACUGAGGAGCGAAAGGCGUGGGGAGCGAUCCGG
This 255-nucleotide ribosomal RNA is filed under the name uncultured bacterium. RNAcentral's name for it is "partial 16S ribosomal RNA". It matches the Rfam family "Bacterial small subunit ribosomal RNA", at positions 524 to 776 of the family's 1533-position model. The record is from RNAcentral.